UACGUCGAUCCUAGAAACCAACAAAAUAGGGUCAAACGUCCUAUUUCAUUAUUCCAUGCUAAUGUAUUCAAGCGCGAGCCUGCUUUAAACACUCUAAUUUUUUCAAAGUAACAGUCCUGAUUCCCCGCCACACCAACUUAAUGACAUGACGGUUCUUCAGAAGGGAGAAACCAGUGACACCAGUGCAUACCGAAGGCACGACCAGCG
Molecule: unclassified non-coding RNA, 207 nt
Filed under: uncultured Glomeraceae
Lineage: Eukaryota; Fungi; Glomeromycota; Glomeromycetes; Glomerales; Glomeraceae
Description: sequence contains 18S rRNA gene
Source: RNAcentral